AUUGAACGCUGGCGGCAGGCUUAACACAUGCAAGUCGAACGAUGAAACUCUAGCUUGCUAGAGAUGAUUAGUGGCGGACGUGUGAGUAACAUUUAGGAAUCUGCCUAGUAGUGGGGGAUAGCUCGGGGAAACUCGAAUUAAUACCGCAUACGACCUACGGGUGAAAGGGGGCGCAAGCUCUUGCUAUUAGAUGAGCCUAAAUCAGAUUAGCUAGUUGGUGGGGUAAAGGCCCACCAAGGCGACGAUCUGUAACUGGUCUGAGAGGAUGAUCAGUCACACCGGAACUGAGACACGGUCCGGACUCCUACGGGAGGCAGCAGUGGGGAAUAUUGGACAAUGGGGGCAACCCUGAUCCAGCCAUGCCGCGUGUGUGAAGAAGGCCUUUUGGUUGUAAAGCACUUUAAGCAGGGAGGAGAGGCUAAUGGUUAAUACCCAUUAGAUUAGACGUUACCUGCAGAAUAAGCACCGGCUAACUCUGUG
RNAcentral lists this ribosomal RNA (480 nucleotides) under uncultured bacterium. Its description in RNAcentral is "partial 16S ribosomal RNA". It matches the Rfam family "Bacterial small subunit ribosomal RNA", at positions 30 to 507 of the family's 1533-position model. The record is from RNAcentral.